This 126-nucleotide long non-coding RNA is filed under the name Octodon degus (degu). RNAcentral's name for it is "JPX transcript, XIST activator conserved region 1 (ENSODEG00000021028.1)". It matches the Rfam family "JPX transcript, XIST activator conserved region 1". Lineage: Eukaryota; Metazoa; Chordata; Mammalia; Rodentia; Octodontidae. The record is from RNAcentral.
UAGGGCGCUUGGAGGACCUAAAAUGGCGGCUUGCCCGUAGUUUUGUACUUACUGGAGUUGGCAAGGCAGCUAAAGAAUGACUCUGCCAAGGAAAGUGGAAGAAACUCGCCGCUUUAUAUGUUGUGG